Molecule: long non-coding RNA, 2371 nt
Organism: Hippopotamus amphibius kiboko
Lineage: Eukaryota; Metazoa; Chordata; Mammalia; Artiodactyla; Hippopotamidae
Exons: 3
Source: RefSeq, a predicted model, not a curated record
GGAAGCGGGGGAAUGGGGCUCUGACCUGGGUUGGGACAUGUGAGGCUCCUUGUGUCUUGGAGUCAGGCAUAGCCAUGGGGUUUCAGACCCUCCUCAACCAUGCAGAAAUGUAGAGGUUCAGGCCAGGCCAGGCCCCAAAGAGGCAAACAGUCAUUCUCACAUGACACCCAGAGGGAGCCUGUGAAAACCCAAGUCAGAUUUCAUCCCUUCCCUGCUCAAAACCCUCCCUGUGUCACUCACAGGAAAAAACAGUCUGCACAGUGGCCUGCUAGGCCCACAGGAUACAGCCCCUGUCACUCUCCACUCUCUUCUGCCCCUCAGCUCCAUCCUGGCCACUCAGGCCUCCUCAGGGCCUUUGCACGUGCUGUUCCCUCGCUGAACAUGCUCUUCCCCAGAGAGCCUCAUGGCUCACUCUGCCCCCUCCCCAGGUCUUAUUUACUUUUUUAAUGACUUUCCCAUUUUUUUUUACUUAUUUAUUUUUAUUUUCUGGCCAUGCUGCAUGGCUUGUGGGAUCUUAGUUCCCCGACCAGGGGUUGAACCUGUGUCUCCUGCAGUGGAAAUAUGGAGUCUUUUUUUUUUUUUUCUAAUAUUGUUGAUUGGUUGAUUGAUUGCUGUGUUGGGUCUUCGUUGCUGCACAUGGGCUUUGUCUAGUUGUGGUGAGUAGGGGCUACUCUUCAUUGUGGUGCACGGGCUCCUCAUUGCCGGGGCUUCUCUUGUUGUGGAGCACCAGCUCUAGGUGCGUGGGCUUCAGUAGUUGUGGCUCAUAGGCUUAGUUGCUCCCCGGCAUGUGGGAUCUUCCUGAAGCAGGGAACGAAGCCGUGUCCCCUGCAUUGGCAGGCGGAUUCUUUACUGUGCCACCAGGGAAGUCCCGGAAGCAUGGAGUCUUAACCACUGGACCACCAGCAACCCUGGCGAGGCCUUCGUGUUCCACCAGGGUAGGCACAUGGGCAAGCGGCCUUCCGAGUGCCCUUCAGCCACCGCUCCAACCAUACUGAGAGUGGUAAGGCCCACCAGCAGCUUCAACCAAGCCCUGACACUGCCCCUGGGCAGGGAGACAGACCUCACCGAGACGGGGCGUUCGAUGUCCAGACACCCAGAGGAUGGAGAAGGGGACACACAGUGGGAGCAGACCGCUGGGGCCGUCACAGCCUCUUGCUGAGUGCCGCACGUGAGCCGCAUCGACUAACUACGUCACAUGUGUCUGUCUGGUUGUGGUGCAGGAGCCACGGGACAGGUGGGCACCAGAUGCGGGUGUCACAGUGGGCGGGGGGCUGACCAGCGCAUCCCACCCAGGAGAGCAAGCAGGCUCAGCGCCACCUUUGGGGCCCCGGGGGCCGCGGUUCUGGAACGCGGCUGCACGUACUAGAAUCUGCCCUGGAGCUUUCACGCCCAGAUGCUCAAGCCCCACUCGGAGAGAUUCUGACUUCAGCUCUGGCGAGAGACGUGCUCACCGGGACGUUUCAGAGCCGCCCAGGUGUUUCCCACGCGUGACCUUCCCAUGCCUUUCCCGGUCUGGAUACCCUAGAAGCCUGACUGGGGGAAAGGGCUGUUAAGCUUCGUCCUCGCCACUCAGCAGCUUUCUCCCGGCGGGGCGGACCCGACGGCCGCGUCCGGGACGCCAUCUCCUUGGCGACGACGCAGGCACGCCUCGCGGGCCUCGGUUACCACGACAACCGGAGUCCUGGGGCGGACGGAGAGCCGGGUGCGGCGGGACUACGCUUCCCAGCAGCCCCCGCGAGGGCUCCCUCCGGCCCUUGAGGCGGCACCCACCCUUCAGAGCCGCGGCCCGGACGAGGAGGAGGAGGGUGGAAGGCUCCGCGCUGCGUGCGGGACAGGGACCUGGGGACCCGUGCCGGCCGCCCCCAGCAAGGAUUCUGUCCUUGGAUGUGGAGGCCACCCCAGGAAUUCAAGAUGAUCUCAUCUCAGGGUCCUUUUUUUUUUUUUUUUUCUGGCCACACCCAGCGGCAUGUGGCAUGUCACUGACGGGGGACUGAACCCGCACCCCCUGCGGUGGACGCGUGCAGUCUUAACCACUGGACCACCAGGGACGUCCUCAAGAUCCUUAAGUACCCCUGCAAAUACGCUCUCCCCAGUUAAGGCCCCAUUCGCAGGUCCCAGGGAUUCGGGUGCGGACAUCUCUUUGGGGUGGAGGUGCCGCUCAACGCACUACGGCCUCCGUCAGUGGCCGCUGCUCAGUCCUGGGUGGCCGCGUGUCCUCUGAUCUCAUGGCGAUUGGCGGUCUUGUGUCGCCCAGGCUGCCCCCGGCAUCUUCUCCCAUCCUGUGGCUCCUCGGCCUCCAGGUUCCUGGGGGCCCAGGACGUCACACGGGGGUGUGGGGUGGGGGGUGGGGGGGUGGCCUGAGGCCCUGCUC